This 253-nucleotide ribosomal RNA is filed under the name uncultured bacterium. Its description in RNAcentral is "partial 16S ribosomal RNA". It matches the Rfam family "Bacterial small subunit ribosomal RNA", at positions 524 to 776 of the family's 1533-position model. The record is from RNAcentral.
UACGUAGGGUGCAAGCGUUGUCCGGAAUUAUUGGGCGUAAAGAGUUCGUAGGCGGUUUGUCGCGUCGGCUGUGAAAACCUGGGGCUCAACCCCGGGCCUGCAGCCGAUACGGGCAAACUAGAAUUCGGUAGGGGAGACUGGAAUUCCUGGUGUAGCGGUGGAAUGCGCAGAUAUCAGGAGGAACACCGGUGGCGAAGGCGGAUCUCUGGGCCAUAACUGACGCUGAGGAGCGAAAGCAUGGGGAGCGAACAGG